GGGUUGUGAGGUUAAGCGACUAAGCGUACACGGUGGAUGCCCUGGCAGUCAGAGGCGAUGAAGGACGUGCUAAUCUGCGAUAAGCGCCGGUAAGGUGAUAUGAACCGUUAUAACCGGCGAUUUCCGAAUGGGGAAACCCAGUGUGAUUCGUCACACUAUCAUUAACUGAAUCCAUAGGUUAAUGAGGCGAACCGGGGGAACUGAAACAUCUAAGUACCCCGAGGAAAAGAAAUCAACCGAGAUUCCCCCAGUAGCGGCGAGCGAACGGGGAGGAGCCCAGAGCCUGAAUCAGCAUGUGUGUUAGUGGAAGCGUCUGGAAAGGCGCGCGAUACAGGGUGACAGCCCCGUACACAAAAGCGCAUGUGCUGUGAGCUCGAUGAGUAGGGCGGGACACGUGGUAUCCUGUCUGAAUAUGGGGGGACCAUCCUCCAAGGCUAAAUACUCCUGACUGACCGAUAGUGAACCAGUACCGUGAGGGAAAGGCGAAAAGAACCCCGGCGAGGGGAGUGAAAAAGAACCUGAAACCGUGUACGUACAAGCAGUGGGAGCACUGACUGCGUACCUUUUGUAUAAUGGGUCAGCGACUUAUAUUCUGUAGCAAGGUUAACCGUAUAGGGGAGCCGGAGGGAAACCGAGUCUUAAUUGGGCGUUAAGUUGCAGGGUAUAGACCCGAAACCCGGUGAUCUAGCCAUGGGCAGGUUGAAGGUUGGGUAACACUAACUGGAGGACCGAACCGACUAAUGUUGAAAAAUUAGCGGAUGACCUGUGGCUGGGGGUGAAAGGCCAAUCAAACCGGGAGAUAGCUGGUUCUCCCCGAAAGCUAUUUAGGUAGCGCCUCGUGAAUUCAUCUCCGGGGGUAGAGCACUGUUUCGGCUAGGGGGCCAUCCCGGCUUACCAACCCGAUGCAAACUGCGAAUACCGGAGAAUGUUAUCACGGGAGACACACGGCGGGUGCUAACGUCCGUCGUGAAGAGGGAAACAACCCAGACCGCCAGCUAAGGUCCCAAAGUCAUGGUUAAGUGGGAAACGAUGUGGGAAGGCCCAGACAGCCAGGAUGUUGGCUUAGAAGCAGCCAUCAUUUAAAGAAAGCGUAAUAGCUCACUGGUCGAGUCGGCCUGCGCGGAAGAUGUAACGGGGCUAAACCAUGCACCGAAGCUGCGGCAGCGACACUGUGUGUUGUUGGGUAGGGGAGCGUUCUGUAAGCCUGUGAAGGUGGCCUGUGAGGGUUGCUGGAGGUAUCAGAAGUGCGAAUGCUGACAUAAGUAACGAUAAAGCGGGUGAAAAGCCCGCUCGCCGGAAGACCAAGGGUUCCUGUCCAACGUUAAUCGGGGCAGGGUGAGUCGACCCCUAAGGCGAGGCCGAAAGGCGUAGUCGAUGGGAAACGGGUUAAUAUUCCCGUACUUGGUGUUACUGCGAAGGGGGGACGGAGAAGGCUAUGUUGGCCGGGCGACGGUUGUCCCGGUUUAAGCGUGUAGGCUGGUUUUCCAGGCAAAUCCGGAAAAUCAAGGCUGAGGCGUGACGACGAGGCACUACGGUGCUGAAGCAACAAAUGCCCUGCUUCCAGGAAAAGCCUCUAAGCAUCAGGUAACAUCAAAUCGUACCCCAAACCGACACAGGUGGUCAGGUAGAGAAUACCAAGGCGCUUGAGAGAACUCGGGUGAAGGAACUAGGCAAAAUGGUGCCGUAACUUCGGGAGAAGGCACGCUGACACGUAGGUGAAGUGAUUUACUCAUGGAGCUGAAGUCAGUCGAAGAUACCAGCUGGCUGCAACUGUUUAUUAAAAACACAGCACUGUGCAAACACGAAAGUGGACGUAUACGGUGUGACGCCUGCCCGGUGCCGGAAGGUUAAUUGAUGGGGUCAGCGCAAGCGAAGCUCCUGAUCGAAGCCCCGGUAAACGGCGGCCGUAACUAUAACGGUCCUAAGGUAGCGAAAUUCCUUGUCGGGUAAGUUCCGACCUGCACGAAUGGCGUAAUGAUGGCCAGGCUGUCUCCACCCGAGACUCAGUGAAAUUGAACUCGCUGUGAAGAUGCAGUGUACCCGCGGCAAGACGGAAAGACCCCGUGAACCUUUACUAUAGCUUGACACUGAACAUUGAGCCUUGAUGUGUAGGAUAGGUGGGAGGCUUUGAAGUGUGGACGCCAGUCUGCAUGGAGCCGACCUUGAAAUACCACCCUUUAAUGUUUGAUGUUCUAACGUGGACCCGUAAUCCGGGUUGCGGACAGUGUCUGGUGGGUAGUUUGACUGGGGCGGUCUCCUCCUAAAGAGUAACGGAGGAGCACGAAGGUUGGCUAAUCCUGGUCGGACAUCAGGAGGUUAGUGCAAUGGCAUAAGCCAGCUUGACUGCGAGCGUGACGGCGCGAGCAGGUGCGAAAGCAGGUCAUAGUGAUCCGGUGGUUCUGAAUGGAAGGGCCAUCGCUCAACGGAUAAAAGGUACUCCGGGGAUAACAGGCUGAUACCGCCCAAGAGUUCAUAUCGACGGCGGUGUUUGGCACCUCGAUGUCGGCUCAUCACAUCCUGGGGCUGAAGUAGGUCCCAAGGGUAUGGCUGUUCGCCAUUUAAAGUGGUACGCGAGCUGGGUUUAGAACGUCGUGAGACAGUUCGGUCCCUAUCUGCCGUGGGCGCUGGAGAACUGAGGGGGGCUGCUCCUAGUACGAGAGGACCGGAGUGGACGCAUCACUGGUGUUCGGGUUGUCAUGCCAAUGGCACUGCCCGGUAGCUAAAUGCGGAAGAGAUAAGUGCUGAAAGCAUCUAAGCACGAAACUUGCCCCGAGAUGAGUUCUCCCUGAGACUUAGAGUCUCCUGAAGGAACGUUGAAGACGACGACGUUGAUAGGCCGGGUGUGUAAGCGCAGCGAUGCGUUGAGCUAACCGGUACUAAUGAACCGUGAGGCUUAACCUUACAACGCCGAAG
This 2913-nucleotide ribosomal RNA is filed under the name Salmonella enterica subsp. enterica. RNAcentral describes it as "bacterial LSU rRNA". It matches the Rfam family "Bacterial large subunit ribosomal RNA". The record is from RNAcentral. Lineage: Bacteria; Pseudomonadati; Pseudomonadota; Gammaproteobacteria; Enterobacterales; Enterobacteriaceae.